RNAcentral lists this long non-coding RNA (6680 nucleotides) under Daucus carota (carrot). Its description in RNAcentral is "long non-coding RNA (DCAR_LNC001292)". Lineage: Eukaryota; Viridiplantae; Streptophyta; Magnoliopsida; Apiales; Apiaceae. The record is from RNAcentral.
GCGUCUUGAGUUUCUUGGAAAUUCUGUACCGGAUUAUAUCACAACCAUGCAUCUGUACCAUAAAUACCCAGGAAUAUCACCUGGAUUGCUAACUGAUCUGAGAUCAGCUUCUGUAAACAAUGAUUUUUACUCUUUAUGUGCGAUUAGGGCUGGAUUGCAAAAGCACAUUCUUCAUGCUUCCCAAAAACUUCACAGGCAAUUGGAGUCCUCUCUUCAGAAAUUAGAUCCAUUAUUAAUGGAACAAUAUUUGGAUGGGAGUCAGAAAAUUCUCUUCCCAAGGUCAGUGUUCGAAGCUUGAUGUGAUUAUUUAUUUCCAUUUAAACUUCCCCUAACAACAUGUUUUUUGAAAAAAAGAAAGAAAGAAUGUUAUCUCUUAAAAACUAAAAUUAUAUAUAUUGGAUAAUAAGUAAUUUAUUGAUUAUAAUGGACUUACUUUUUGGCAUGAAUUAAAUCUUUAUAGAUAAAUACCUACAUUUGCACUUCCUAUGGAUUUAAGCAUUUAAGAUAGUGAUUCCCCCAUUCAUUUGAUUUUGUUGUGCAUGUGGUACACGUUCUUAGAGAUCUAAUAGAAUCUUUAGCAAGGGAAAUAGUAGGUUAUUCCGGAUAUAGAAAAGAUAUUGUAUUCGAGAGCAUAAGGCCGCUUUUGAAACCCUUGGUUUCUCUUGAGACGAUCAAGUUUUAACCAAUGAGAGAAUUGCAAUAGUUGUGCCAAAAAGAGAACUACGUGUUAAAAAGAGCCUGUUGUGUCAACUGACAAUUCUACAACAACUGUUAUAGCAGAGGUUGAAGCCAAUGACGUCAUAUAUAAAGAGUCAUGCACUGGUCCAAAUAAGGCAGGAGCCAAGAAUCGUGCUUCAAAAAGCUGUUUUCAGGUCGUUAAAAGAGAGUAUGUCCACCAAAUUUCUCCCACUUCCUCUCCUUUCAUCUCCCAAGCGUAAUAGGUAAAAGGAAGAGAAUUGAAAGUGUAAUGAUAACUUUGCAUGCUUCACUACUAUGAGUCCCUCGUAUGCUGAACUUUGAGUUUUCCGAUCUUUCAUUAAAAGGAUUUUAUUACAUUUUUUUUAAAACACAUGGUACUAGUGUUGAGAUAAGAAUUAAUUAAAAUGACAAUCUUAGGGGAUGUAAAUUGUAUAGAUUAAGAGUAAAAUAUUUUUAAAGAGUUCUCAUCCCCUAAGAUCUUUGAUUUUAAAGAUCUUUCUAUCUUUAAAAAUAUUUUACUCUUAAUCUGUACAAUUUACAUCCCCUAAGAUUGUCAUUUUCAACCACUCUCAUCCUAGCACUACUAACAAGUGUUUUAAAAAAAUAAUAAUAAAAACCUUUUGAUGAAAAAUUGGAGAACUCAAAGUUCAACAUAUGAGGAACUCACAGUAGUGAAGCAUACAAAGUUAUCAUUACUCUUUCACUUCUUUUCCUUUUGCCUUUUAUGCUUGGGAGAUGAAAGAGAGGAAUUGGACGAAAUUUGCCGGACAUGCUCUCUUUUAACGACCUCAAAACAGCUUUUGAAGCACUUUUUUUGGUUUGUGCCUUAUUUGGACCAGUGCAUGACUCUGUGUGUAUGAAGUCAUUGGCUUCAACCUCAACUGUAGCAGUUGCUGUAGACUUGUCAGUUGACACAACAGGCUCUUUCCAACACACGUAGUUCUCUUUUUGGCACAACUGUUGCAAUUCUCUCACUGGUUGAAACUUGAUCGUCUCAAGAGAAACCAAGGUUUUCAAAAGCGGCCUUAUGCUCUCGGAUUAUUACAAUAUCUUUUUCAUAUCCGGAAUCUACUAAUAUUGCCUUAGCUAGAGAUUUUAUUACAUCUCCAAGAUCCUUUACCACAUGCCCAACAAAAUCAAAUGAAUGCGGGAAUCACCAUCUUAAAUGCUUCUAUCCAUAGGAUUUGAAAAAAUAGGCUUUUAUCUGCAAAGCUUUAAUUCAUGCCAAAAAUGUAAGUCCAUUAUAAUCAAUAAUUCUAAAUUAAUUCAUGCCAAAAAAUUUGUUGAACCUGUAAGACAUUGUGCUUCGAUGAUUUUGGCUAUAAUUUAAAAAUAUUAUGUUAUUAAUAUUUUAGAUUGUUAUAAAUAGAAUACAUCACUUCAAUAUGGUAGUAAAUGAUGUCUAAUCUUCCCACAAAUUUCUUAAAGGCAUGUAGAGGUUUGACAAUUAUAGUCAGUCAUAACAGCUUGGCUAUAAUUAUAGAUAAGGGGAGAGUAUGGUUGGAGUGUGAUAUUUUGAACUGAUUAUCAAUUUUUUUUUUAUCUGUGCUAUGCCAACUCACUUUUUAACAAAGGGUUUUAAUGAUUGGAAUUUGACGCGGGUUGUCAUAUGCAUAUGGCCUUUAUGGGGCAUCCUGGUUUUGCCGGAGACCCUCCUCCAUCUUGUGAGAGGACUGAACCAACUUGGCGAACGGUGCAAGCAGGAUGAAGUAGUGUUUUCCGUUGCGCGAUAAACAUAUGGCUUCUUUUACAAUCAAGGUCAAGUAAGAGGUGUCAUGCAAACUCAUCCGUGCUUCCGGUAAAGUUGUUGCCAAGAGGCCGGUUAAGAAAGCUUUUCUCAAGUAAUUAAAUGAGAGCAUGUUGAACAUGCCACAACUUGUCCCUGCCAAAAGAGGGCAUGUGAAGCAGAUAGAAGAAAAAGAAGAUAUUCUGAUAAAUUUUAUUAAUUGACUUCCCACUAGAAGUGGUGCUUUAUGCAUAGAAGGCCAUAGUGAUUUAUUCUUUGUAGGAAGAUUACUUGGUAGAAGUUUGGAAAUAAAUUUUACCGGCUCUUAGUUGAGUUACGUUUGUUAACGAGACAGUGUCUUCCGUCAUAUAAAAUUGUUAGCUGAAAUUAGUUAAAUGUUAUUAUAAAAAGUUCAAAUCUAGAUGAAGUUUGAUACUUUACACUUUUGUAUAAUGCACAACUCACAAUUAUAUUUUAUUAUUUUAUUUAUGUGGAGUCUAAGUCCAUUAAACUUUGAGCACUAUGAAUCCUAGUUCACAUGAUCCAAGCACAUUUUUAAUGUUAGAGUUGCCAUAAAACCAAUAUAUAGUGUAAUAUAAUAGUCCAACAUCAUUGCCAUAACAUUUAUAGCCAACAUCGUAGGAGAUGCUCUAAACUAGUAAUAUUUAUUUGGGAAAUGAAAUGUAUACUUCACAUUAAAAAAUAUUAUACUACACAUACAAGCGUUGCUUACAAUAUUUUAGCAAGUGAAGUGUUUCUUAUUUCUCUUUUGCAGCAUCUUGAGUUUCUUGGAAAUUCUGUACCGGAUUAUAUCAGAACCAUGCAUCUGUACCAUAAAUACCCAGGAAUAUCACCUGGAUUGCUAACUGAUCUGAGAUCAGCUUCUGUAAACAAUGAUUUUUACUCUUUAUGUGCGAUUAGGGCCGGAUUGCAGAAGCACAUUCUUCAUGCUUCCCAAAAACUUCACAGGCAAUUGGAGUCCUCUCUUCAGAAAUUAGAUCCAUUAUUAAUGGAACAAUAUUUGGAUGGGAUUCAGAAAAUUCUCUUCCCAAGGUCAGUGUUCGAAGCUUGAUGUAAUUAUUUAUUUCCAUGUAAACUUCUCCUAACAACAUGUUUUUUGAAAAAAAAAAGAGAGAAAGGAAUGUUAUCUCAUAAAAACUAAAAUUAUAUAUAUUGGAUAAUAAGUAAUUUAUUGAUUAUAAUGGACUUACUUUUUUGGCAUGAAUUAAAUCUUUAUAGAUAAAUACCUACAUUUGCACUUCCUAUGGAUUUAAGCAUUUAAGAUAGUGAUUCCCGCAUUCAUUUGAUUUUGUUGUGCCUGUGGUACACGUUCUUAGAGAUCUAUUAGAAUCUUUAGCAAGGGAGAUAGUAGUUGAUUCCGGAUAUAGAAAAGAUAUUGUAUUCGAGAGCAUAAGGCCGCUUUUGAAACCCUUGGUUUCUCUUGAGACGAUCAAGUUUUAACCAGUGAGAGAAUUGCAACAGUUGUGCCAAAAAGAGAACUACGUGUUAAAAAGAGCCUGUUGUGUCAACUGACAAUUCUACAGCAACUGUUAUAGCUGAGGUUGAAGCCAAUGACGUCAUAUAUAAAGAGUCAUGCACUGGUCCAAAUAAGGCAGGAGCCAAGAAACGUGCUUCAAAAAGCUGUUUUCAGGUCGUUAAAAGAGAGUAUAUCCACCAAAUUUCACCUACUUCCGCUCCUCUCAUCUCCCAAGCGUAAUAGGCAAAAGGAAGAGAAUUGAAAGUGUGAUGAUAACUUUGUAUGCUUCACUACUAUGAGUCCCUCGUAUGCUGAACUUUGAGUUUUCCGAUCUUUCAUUAAAAGGAUUUUAUUAUAUUUUUUUUAAAACACAUGGUACUAGUGUUGAGAUAAGAAUUGUUGAAAAUGACAAUCUUAGGGGAUGUAAAUUGUAUAGAUUAAGAGUAAAAUAUUUUUAAAGAAUUCUCAUCCCUAAGAUCUUUGAUUUUAAAGAUCUUUCUAUCUUUAAAAAUAUUUUACUCUUAAUCUAUACAAUUUACAUACCCUAAGAUUGUCAUUUUCAACAAUUCUCAUCCUAGCACUACUAACAAGUGUUUUAAAAAAAUAAUAAUAAAAACCUUUUGAUGAAAAAUUGGAGAACUCAAAGUUCAGCAUAUGAGGAACUCACAGUAGUGAAGCAUACAAAGUUAUCAUUACUCUUUCACUUCUCUUCCUUUUGCCUUUUAUGCUUGGGAGAUGAAAGAGGAAUUGGACGAAAUUUGCCGGACAUGCUCUCUUUUAACGACCUCAAAACAGCUUUUGAAGCACUUUUUUUGGUUUGUGCCUUAUUUGGACCAGUGCAUGACUCUUUGUGUAUGAAGUCAUUGGCUUCAACCUCACUAUAGCAGUUGCUGUAGAAUUGUCAGUUGACACAACAGGCUCUUUUUAACACACAUAGUUCUCUUUUUGGCACAACUGUUGCAAUUCUCUCACUGGUUGAAACUUGAUCGUCUCAAGAGAAACCAAGGUUUUCAAAAGUGGCCUUAUGCUCUCGGAUUAAUACAAUAUCUUUUCUAUAUCCGGAAUCUACUAAUAUUUCCUUAGCUAGAGAUUUUAUUAUAUCUCCAAGAUCCUGUACCACAUGCCCAACAAAAUCAAAUGAAUGCGGGAAUCACUAUCUUAGAUGCUUAUAUCCAUAGGAAUUGAGAAAAUAGGCUUUUAUCUGUAAAGCUUUAAUUCAUGCCAAAAAAGUAAGUCCAUUAUAAUCAAUAAUUUUAAAUUAAUUCAUGCCAAAAAAUUUGUUGAACCUGUAAGAUAUUGUGCUUCGAUAAUUUUGGCUAUAAUUUAAAAAUAUUAUGUUAUUAAUAUUUUAGAUUGUUAUAAAUAGAAUACAUCACUUCAAUAUGGUAGUAAAUGAUGUCUAAUCUUCCCACAAAUUUCUUAAAGGCAUGUAGAGGUUUGACAAUUAUAGUCAGUCAUAACAGCUUGUCUAUAAUUAUAGAUAAGGGGAGAGUAUGGUUGGAGUGUGAUAUUUUCAACUGAUUAUCUAUUCUUUUUAUUUGUGGUAUGCCAACUCACUUUUUAACUAAGGGUUUUAAUGAUUGGAAUUUGACCCGGGUUGUCAUAUGCAUAUGGCCUUUUUGGGGCAUCCUGGUUUUGCCGGAGACCCUCCUCCAUCUUGUGAGAGGACUGAACCAACUUGGUGAACGCUGCAAGCACGAUGAAGGAAUUUUUUUUUUUUUGCGUGAUAAACAUAUGGCUUCUUUUACAAUCAAGGUCAAGUAAGAGGGUGUCAUAUGCAAACUCAUUAGUGCUUCCGGUGAAGUUGUUUCCAAGAGGCCGGUUAAGAAAGCUUUUCUCAAGUGAUUAAAUGAGAGCAUGUUGAACAGGCCACAACUUGUCCCUGCCAAAAGGGGGCAUGUGAAGCAGAUAGAAGAAAAAGAAGAUAUUCUGAUAAAUUUUACUGUUUGACUUCCCACUAGAAGUGGUGCUUUAUGCAUAGAAGGCCAUAGUGAUUUAUUCUUUGUAGGAAGAUAACUUGCCAGAAUUUUGGAAACAAAAUUUUACCAGCUCUUAGUUGAUUUAUGUUUGUUAACGAGUCAGUGUCUUCUGUCAUAUAAAAUUGUUAGCUGAAAUUAGUUAAAUGUUAUUAUAAAAAGUUCAAAUCUAGUUGAAGUUUGAUACUUUACACUUUUGUAUAAUGCACAACUCACAAUUAUAUUUUAUUAUUUUAUUUAUGUGGACUCCAAAGUCCAUUAAACUUUGAGCACUAUGAAUCCUAGUUCACAUGAUCCAAACACAUUUAAUUGUUAGAGUUGCCAUAAAACCAAUAUAUAGUGUAAUAUAAUAGUCCAACAUCAUUGCCAUAACAUUUAUAGCUAACAUCAUAGGAGAUGCUCUAAACUAGUAAUAUUUAUUUGGGAAAUGAAAUGUAUAUUUCACAUUAAAAAUAUUAUACUACACAUAGAAGCGUUGCUUACAAUUUUUUAGCAAGUGAAGUGUUUCUUAUUUUUCUUUUGCAGCGUCUUGAGUUUCUUGGAAAUUCUGUACCGGAUUAUAUCUCAACCAUGCAUCUGUACCAUAAAUACCCAGGAAUAUCACGUGGAUUGCUAACUGAUCUUAGAUCAGCUUCUGUGAACAAUGAUUUUUACUCUUUAUGUGCGAUUUGGGCCGGAUUGUAGAAGCACAUUCUUCAUGCUUCCCAAAAACUUCAUAGGCAAUUGGAGUCCUCUGUUCAGAAAUUAGAUCCAUUAUUAAUGGAACAAUAUUUGGAUGGGAGUCAGAAAAUUCUCUUCCCAA